This 463-nucleotide ribosomal RNA is filed under the name Prevotella melaninogenica. RNAcentral's name for it is "bacterial SSU rRNA". It matches the Rfam family "Bacterial small subunit ribosomal RNA", at positions 28 to 479 of the family's 1533-position model. The record is from RNAcentral. Lineage: Bacteria; Pseudomonadati; Bacteroidota; Bacteroidia; Bacteroidales; Prevotellaceae.
GAUGAACGCUAGCUACAGGCUUAACACAUGCAAGUCGAGGGGAAACGGCAUUGAGUGCUUGCACUCUUUGGACGUCGACCGGCGCACGGGUGAGUAACGCGUAUCCAACCUUCCCAUUACUGUGGGAUAACCUGCCGAAAGGCAGACUAAUACCGCAUAGUCUUCGAUGACGGCAUCAGAUUUGAAGUAAAGAUUUAUCGGUAAUGGAUGGGGAUGCGUCUGAUUAGCUUGUUGGCGGGGUAACGGCCCACCAAGGCUACGAUCAGUAGGGGUUCUGAGAGGAAGGUCCCCCACAUUGGAAUGAGACACGGUCCAAACUCCUACGGGAGGCAGCAGUGAGGAAUAUUGGUCAAUGGACGGAAGUCUGAACCAGCCAAGUAGCGUGCAGGAUGACGGCCCUAUGGGUUGUAGACUGCUUUUGUAUGGGGAUAAAGUUAGGGACGUGUCCCUAUUUGCAGGUACC